RNAcentral lists this ribosomal RNA (253 nucleotides) under uncultured Lactobacillus sp. RNAcentral describes it as "partial 16S ribosomal RNA". It matches the Rfam family "Bacterial small subunit ribosomal RNA", at positions 524 to 776 of the family's 1533-position model. The record is from RNAcentral. Lineage: Bacteria; Bacillati; Bacillota; Bacilli; Lactobacillales; Lactobacillaceae.
UACGUAGGUGGCAAGCGUUAUCCGGAUUUAUUGGGCGUAAAGCGAGCGCAGGCGGUUGCUUAGGUCUGAUGUGAAAGCCUUCGGCUUAACCGAAGAAGUGCAUCGGAAACCGGGCAACUUGAGUGCAGAAGAGGACAGUGGAACUCCAUGUGUAGCGGUGGAAUGCGUAGAUAUAUGGAAGAACACCAGUGGCGAAGGCGACUUUCUGGACUGUACCUGACGCUGAGGCGCGAAAGCGUGGGUAGCGAACGGG